AAUUGUGAUCAACUAACCUUGCCA
RNAcentral lists this non-coding RNA (24 nucleotides) under Arabidopsis thaliana (thale cress). Lineage: Eukaryota; Viridiplantae; Streptophyta; Magnoliopsida; Brassicales; Brassicaceae. The record is from RNAcentral.